UCCUACGGGAGGCAGCAGUGGGGAAUAUUGCACAAUGGGCGCAAGCUUGAUGCAGCAACGCCGCGUGAGGGACGAAGGCCUUCGGGUUGUAAACCUCUUUUAGUAGGGAAGAAGCGACUGGGUUUUCCUGGGAGUGACGGUACCUGCAGAAAAAGCACCGGCUAACUACGUGCCAGCAGCCGCGGUAAUACGUAGGGUGCAAGCGUUGUCCGGAAUUAUUGGGCGUAAAGAGCUCGUAGGCGGUUUGUCGCGUCUGCUGUGAAAACCCGAGGCUCAACCUCGGGCCUGCAGUGGGUACGGGCAGACUAGAGUGCGGUAGGGGAGAUUGGAAUUCCUGGUGUAGCGGUGGAAUGCGCAGAUAUCAGGAGGAACACCAAUGGCGAAGGCAGAUCUCUGGGCCGUAACUGACGCUGAGGAGCGAAAGCAUGGGGAGCGAACAGGAUUAGAUACCCUGGUAGUCCAUGCCGUAAACGUUGGGAACUAGAUGUGGGGACCAUUCCACGGUCUCCGUGUCGCAGCUAACGCAUUAAGUUCCCCGCCUGGGGAGUACGGCCGCAAGGCUAAAACUCAAAGGAAUUGACGGGGGCCCGCACAAGCGGCGGAGCAUGCGGAUUAAUUCGAUGCAACGCGAAGAACCUUACCAAGGCUUGACAUAUACCGGAAACGGCUGGAAACAGUCGCCCCGCAAGGUCGGUAUACAGGUGGUGCAUGGUUGUCGUCAGCUCGUGUCGUGAGAUGUUGGGUUAAGUCCCGCAACGAGCGCAACCCUCGUCCUAUGUUGCCAGCACGUAAUGGUGGGAACUCAUGGGAUACUGCCGGGGUCAACUCGGAGGAAGGUGGGGAUGACGUCAAAUCAUCAUGCCCCUUAUGUCUUGGGCUUCACGCAUGCUACAAUGGCCGGUACAAAGGGCUGCGAUACCGCAAGGUGGAGCGAAUCCCAAAAAGCCGGUCUCAGUUCGGAUUGAGGUCUGCAACUCGACCUCAUGAAGUCGGAGUCGCUAGUAAUCGCAGAUCAGCAACGCUGCGGUGAAUACGUUCCCGGGCCUUGUACACACCGCC
This 1059-nucleotide ribosomal RNA is filed under the name uncultured Cryobacterium sp. Its description in RNAcentral is "bacterial SSU rRNA". It matches the Rfam family "Bacterial small subunit ribosomal RNA", at positions 337 to 1394 of the family's 1533-position model. Lineage: Bacteria; Bacillati; Actinomycetota; Actinomycetes; Micrococcales; Microbacteriaceae. The record is from RNAcentral.